AUUGAACGCUGGCGGCAUGCUUUACACAUGCAAGUCGAACGGUAACAGGCCUUCGGGUGCUGACGAGUGGCGAACGGGUGAGUAAUGCAUCGGAACGUGCCCAGAGGUGGGGGAUAACGCAGCGAAAGCUGUGCUAAUACCGCAUGUGAUCUGAGGAUGAAAGCGGGGGACCAAGCAGCAAUGUUUGGCCUCGCGCCUCUGGAGCGGCCGAUGUCAGAUUAGGUAGUUGGCGGGGUAAAGGCCUACCAAGCCGACGAUCUGUAGCUGGUCUGAGAGGACGACCAGCCACACUGGGACUGAGACACGGCCCAGACUCCUACGGGAGGCAGCAGUGGGGAAUUUUGGACAAUGGGCGCAAGCCUGAUCCAGCAAUGCCGCGUGCGGGAAGAAGGCCUUCGGGUUGUAAACCGCUUUUGUACGGAACGAAAAGGCUCUGGCUAAUACCUGGGGCUGAUGACGGUACCGUAAGAAUAAGCACCGGCUAACUACGUG
RNAcentral lists this ribosomal RNA (492 nucleotides) under uncultured bacterium. RNAcentral describes it as "partial 16S ribosomal RNA". It matches the Rfam family "Bacterial small subunit ribosomal RNA", at positions 30 to 507 of the family's 1533-position model. The record is from RNAcentral.